This 464-nucleotide long non-coding RNA is filed under the name Manihot esculenta (cassava). RNAcentral describes it as "long non-coding RNA (MESC_LNC009916)". The record is from RNAcentral. Lineage: Eukaryota; Viridiplantae; Streptophyta; Magnoliopsida; Malpighiales; Euphorbiaceae.
CUGCAUUUAUUUGGAAGUGCAGCAACCCUUGUGGAAAUACCAUAAUGUCUCCCUUAUUAAGAGAUUUGAAGUAAACAGUAUUAGCUGAAGAAAUGAACCCAGCACAGAUAGACCCUUGUACCACAAUUAGGGCUUCUGAAGCUCCCGGGUGGGUGUGCAUGGGAACAACACCGCCAACUGCCAAGUCCAAACGAGCCAUGGAGAGUCCAAGGCUGUUUAAACCAGGAAAUUGGUCGACAAAGGCCGGUGUCACAGCAGCUUUAAUAAGGCUUGAGAUGUUGCCAGGGCUUCCCAGGCCAGAGUAAACAAAAUCGUUUACGGUGACUGCUGCAGGUUUCUUGCAAGCGUAGCCUGCAGGGCCAUCAGGACCUGACAAGUCCGCAACGCAGAAGUCGUUCACUGCAGCAUAAGAAGAAGAAUAUAUGAGAGAAAAGAUGAGAAAGAUGUAGAGAAUCAUCUUGCUC